Molecule: ribosomal RNA, 253 nt
Filed under: uncultured bacterium
Lineage: Bacteria
Description: partial 16S ribosomal RNA
Rfam family: Bacterial small subunit ribosomal RNA
Source: RNAcentral
GACGAACCGUGCGAACGUUGUUCGGAAUCACUGGGCUUAAAGGGCGCGUAGGCGGCUUCGCAAGUCAGGGGUGAAAUCUUUCGGCUCAACCGGAAAAGUGCCUCUGAUACUGCGGAGCUCGAGGGAGGUAGGGGCAGACGGAACUUCCGGUGGAGCGGUGAAAUGCGUUGAUAUCGGAAGGAACGCCGGUGGCGAAAGCGGUCUGCUGGCCCUCUACUGACGCUGAGGCGCGAAAGCGUGGGGAGCGAACAGG